This 392-nucleotide transfer-messenger RNA is filed under the name Chitinophagaceae. RNAcentral describes it as "VBAT01 sp005884665 Standard tmRNA". It matches the Rfam family "transfer-messenger RNA". From Rfam's summary of the family: Bacterial tmRNA, also known as 10Sa RNA or SsrA, is named for its dual tRNA and mRNA-like properties. RNAcentral also lists the same sequence under 1 other name. The record is from RNAcentral. Lineage: Bacteria; Pseudomonadati; Bacteroidota; Chitinophagia; Chitinophagales.
GGGGCUGUCCCGGUAUCGACAGCAUAGAUCUUUGAAAGUGUAAGCAUGCAGUGCGUUGUGUACUCUGCACUUUAAUCUUGAAUACUCAAACUAUAAAUGGCAAUACUCAGUAUGCCAUGGCUGCCUAAUCAGUGAUUAGUUAGUCAUUAGGGCCGCGGGUGCAGGUAGUUCUGUUACCACGCUCCGCCGCCGACUUAAAAACAAAACAGAAUGCUGUCGCGAAAGGCUGUGAUCGUGACAAAAGUCCCGAUAGCUAUCGGGAUAUGCAGCUAGGCAAGGAAUUGGUUUGUUCGUUUCCUGUUUUUUGCCGACCCCCUAAUAAUGAACUAAGCAUGUAGAAAGCUUUUGGGGAAUAUGUUUGGACGCGGGUUCGAUUCCCGCCAGCUCCACAA